RNAcentral lists this small nuclear RNA (107 nucleotides) under Sus scrofa (pig). The record is from RNAcentral. Lineage: Eukaryota; Metazoa; Chordata; Mammalia; Artiodactyla; Suidae.
GCGCUCGCCUCAGCAGCACGUAUAUUAAAAUUGGAACAACAUAGAGAAGAUUAGCAUGGCCCCUGCACAAGGAUGACUCGGACAUUUGUGAUGCAGUCCAUAUUUUU